This 240-nucleotide unclassified non-coding RNA is filed under the name soil metagenome. RNAcentral describes it as "partial contains 5.8S ribosomal RNA, internal transcribed spacer 2, and large subunit ribosomal RNA". The record is from RNAcentral.
AACGGUCUAUACCUGCGGUACCUGCGGAAGGAUCAUUACCGAGUUAUCAACUCCCAAACCCCUGUGAACAUACCCGAACGUUGCCUCGGCGGGACCGCCCCGGCGCCCCUAGCGGCCCGGAACCAGGCGCCCGCCGGAGGACCCAAACUCUUGCCUUAAACAGUGGCAUACUCUCUGAGUCUCACAAACAAAAAAUAAAUCAAAACUUUCAACAAUGGAUCUCUAGAUCGGAAGAGCACA